GACACAUUUGCUCUUCUGACCGGAGGGGAGGGACUUAUGUCACCUGGAUAGCUGGGGAGAUUUCAGGGGAAUGAGGUCUCCAGCUGAUGGUUGGUGCUGGUAAGUUCCCAAUUCUUGCCUUGACCAUGGUGGCCAGCUCACUUAGGGUCUCUUGAUGGCACAGGUACUCACUCUAACUAAACACCCCUGUCUCACAGCAGGCUAGUGCCUGGCUAUUCAGCAGGGUAUCCGUGAGGGUCGUCCAUACAACUUUGAAAGGAGUAAUAGUGUUUCACAGAUCUAGCAAGGAGGAGCAGAAAUUAUUGCCCAUUAAGGAACGGUGGUGCCAGCCUUCAGCAUGAAAUGGGAUCUCAGAGGCAAGGAUGGCAUCCAAAAGUUUCAUCCUGUACAAAUAGUUGUAGCAACUUUGAUUUACCUGGGUUUCCAGUUGUAGCAGACUUGCGUCUGCAAGUUGCUGGGAUUCAUACUUGAUGUUCUGAACACUGAAGAGUUGAGUGUCAUUCUCCUCUUUUAAGUCUUUGGGAACAUUGUGUCCCACAGGGACAUGGGGUCCCGUGUAGGUUCAUUUGCAAGUGCAUGAUUGCUUCUUCACAAAAAUAAAUAGCAGUACAAAUAUCAGGCUCCUGUAGGCCAUCACAUGCACCCAGGCACAACAUUCACCCAGGACUGCCUCCCCACACAGAACUGCAUGGUUUUCCCACUGCUCUGCCUUGUUAGCCAAGGCUGCAGGGAAGAAGCAACCAUGCCUGGAUUCCCUGGAGUUUGCCGGCCAUUUGCUUAUGGGGGGAGAUCAAGCCAGACCUUGUCUGAAAACAUAGUGCCUGGGGGACUAGGAAAGGAGGAUGACACCUUCCUGUAACCCCUCCCAGCACUUGGAUCAGACAGGCAAUCUCAACUUUUUUUUUCAGCUUAAUUUCUUUUAAGACAAAUAUCAGUACUCACUUUGGUUACAUUUAGAAAUGAGUUUAAUUUUUUUUUUUUUUUAGAAUUUCUUACUGGAAUUUUCAUAGAAAACUUCAUCUGC
RNAcentral lists this long non-coding RNA (1024 nucleotides) under Marmota monax (woodchuck). The record is from RNAcentral. Lineage: Eukaryota; Metazoa; Chordata; Mammalia; Rodentia; Sciuridae.